AGAGUUUGAUCAUGGCUCAGGAUAAACGCUGGCGGUGUGCUUUAUGCAUGCAAGUCGAACGAACUAUUUUCGGAUAGCUAGUGGCGAAUGGGUGAGUAACACGUAAGUAACCUACCCUUAAGUGGGGAAUAGCUCUGAGAAAUCGGAAUUAAUACCGCAUGUGAUGAUGGGGGUAAUGCCCUAUCAUUAAAGGCUUCGGCCGCUUGAGGAGGGGCUUGCGUCCGAUUAGCUAGUUGGUGAGGUAACGGCCCACCAAGGCUCCGAUCGGUAGCUGGUUUGAGAGGAUGAUCAGCCACACUGGAACUGAGACACGGUCCAGACUCCUACGGGAGGCAGCAGCAAGGAAUAUUGGGCAAUGGGCGAAAGCCUGACCCAGCGACACCGCGUGGAGGAAGAAGGCCUUCGGGUUGUAAACUCCUUUUCCUGGGGAAGAAUAAUGACGGUACCCAAGGAAUAAGUCUCGGCUAACUACGUGCCAGCAGCCGCGGUAAUACGUAGGAGGCGAGCGUUAUCCGGAUUUACUGGGCGUAAAGAGGGCGUAGGCGGCAUAUCAAGUCGAAUGUGAAAUCUCCCGGCUCAACCGGGAGGGUGCAUUCGAUACUGAUGGGCUAGAGUACAGCAGAGGAAAGCGGAAUUCCCGGUGUAGUGGUGAAAUGCGUAGAUAUCGGGAGGAACACUAGUGGCGAAGGCGGCUUUCUGGGCUGUUACUGACGCUGAGGCCCGAAGGCGUGGGGAGCGAACAGGAUUAGAUACCCUAGUAGUCC
This 764-nucleotide ribosomal RNA is filed under the name uncultured bacterium. RNAcentral describes it as "bacterial SSU rRNA". It matches the Rfam family "Bacterial small subunit ribosomal RNA", at positions 8 to 796 of the family's 1533-position model. The record is from RNAcentral.